AGGAUUACUGUUUCCAGCUGGCUUCCUGGGACUGUCCGUUCUGCUUGUUCUGUAUCUGCAACCUCAUUAAAGCCUCAGUUUACUCGCUACUGAAUCCGCUUCCGUUUUUGCCGUGACAUGAGAAUAUUGCCCAGAGCAUCACACUGCCUCCACCAGCUUGCCUUCUUAUAGUGCACCCUGGUGCCAUCUCUUCCCCAGGUGGACAGGGGUCAGCAUUGGCUACGCAGCCCCAUGCACUGUGUCCUGACACCUUUCUAUCAUAACCAGCAUUAACUUUUUCAGCAAUUUGUGCUACAGUAAUUCUUCUGUGGGAUUGGACCAGAUGGGCUAGCCUUCUCUCCCCACACGCAUUAGUGAGCCUUGGGAGCCCAUGACCCUGUUGCCAGUUCACCGGUUGUCCUUCCUUGGACUACUUUUGUUAGGUAUUAACCACUGCAUACUGGGAACACCCAACACGAUCUGCCAUUGUAUAUAAUAAUACACUAUUUGCAUUGAUAAAUGUAUACAGAAUGUAUAGGCCAUCUCUAUUCAUAAAAAAAAAAAAAUCAGU
Pangasianodon hypophthalmus (striped catfish) is the source of this 550-nucleotide long non-coding RNA. RefSeq lists it as uncharacterized. Lineage: Eukaryota; Metazoa; Chordata; Actinopteri; Siluriformes; Pangasiidae. The record is from RefSeq and is a predicted model, not a curated record. The transcript has 3 exons.